GGCACUUUCAUGUAGUUUAGUUUAGUUUUGUGAAAAAUCAAAUAAAACAUUUGAAUAACCAAAGAAGAGGACCUCUGCUGCUGGACUAGGGCGCUCCGACUUCCUCAACAAAUCAAACUGCCUUCUGGGAGAUGCAUCAACCAGUGAUGUGACAUUCUAGAAAAAAAGGAUCACAAUAGCCACAGUGGUAUCCUGAGGAAAAACCGACCGUGGGUUGACGCCAUGGAUGAUCAUAGACCGGUGAGUGAAGGCAGAGGAGGUAGUGUGGACGGCGGCUGAGAUGGAGGAUGGUAAGUUUUGAAACUCUGAACUGUACAACCACCAGUGUUACCAUGCAGUGAUCCACAGCUGAAAUCUGUGGUUUUUGUCUUAAAUUUGAAUCCACGCAGUGCGCCAGCUGGUUAGCAUUAGCACGCGGCUAAGCUAGUUAGCUUUGCACCCAGUUGGACAUCAUAUUCCAUGUAGCGUUGUCGUGUUACAUGAAGUGUGGUCUGUGUAACGUUUCUGCAGGAGGACAGGAGUCCCUCCUGGACCAGGAGUCCUCCUCUUGGCCCAGGGUGGAGGAGGGAGGAGCAGGAUGGAGCAUCCACUCCAUCUCCAGCCGGACUGUCCUGUGUUAUGAAGCCCCAGCAGCUCGGAGGAGGCUGGAGCACCAACCAGACCUGACGGAGCCCCUGAGAGAAAUCUAGGCUUCAGGUGAGCUGGGAGCUGCAGCGUGAUGAACGGCAUGUCCAUCAGGAGGAGCAGCAGGAGGAGCAGCGUCUGAACCUGCAGUUCCUUGAAGAUGAAG
Salarias fasciatus (jewelled blenny) is the source of this 790-nucleotide long non-coding RNA. RefSeq lists it as uncharacterized. The record is from RefSeq and is a predicted model, not a curated record. The transcript is spliced from 3 exons. NCBI's taxonomy places the organism in Eukaryota, Metazoa, Chordata, Actinopteri, Blenniiformes, Blenniidae.